Molecule: non-coding RNA, 21 nt
Organism: Caenorhabditis elegans
Lineage: Eukaryota; Metazoa; Nematoda; Chromadorea; Rhabditida; Rhabditidae
Source: Ensembl
UAAGGUAUCGCAGUACAGGGG